ACCUGAGUGGCUUAGUCGGUUAAGUGUCUGACUUUGGCUCAGAUCAUGAUCUCAUAGUCCAUGGAUUUGAGCCCCGUCUUGGGCU
This 85-nucleotide transfer RNA is filed under the name Felis catus (domestic cat). It matches the Rfam family "tRNA". From Rfam's summary of the family: Transfer RNA (tRNA) molecules are approximately 80 nucleotides in length. Their secondary structure includes four short double-helical elements and three loops (D, anti-codon, and T loops). Further hydrogen bonds mediate the characteristic L-shaped molecular structure. tRNAs have two regions of fundamental functional importance: the anti-codon, which is responsible for specific mRNA codon recognition, and the 3' end, to which the tRNAs corresponding amino acid is attached (by aminoacyl-tRNA synthetases). tRNAs cope with the degeneracy of the genetic code in two manners: having more than one tRNA (with a specific anti-codon) for a particular amino acid; and 'wobble' base-pairing, i.e. permitting non-standard base-pairing at the 3rd anti-codon position. Lineage: Eukaryota; Metazoa; Chordata; Mammalia; Carnivora; Felidae. The record is from Rfam by way of RNAcentral.